RNAcentral lists this ribosomal RNA (389 nucleotides) under Dinophyceae sp. Its description in RNAcentral is "partial small subunit ribosomal RNA". It matches the Rfam family "Eukaryotic small subunit ribosomal RNA", at positions 582 to 975 of the family's 1831-position model. The record is from RNAcentral. Lineage: Eukaryota; Dinophyceae.
AUUCCAGCUCCAAUAGCGUAUAUUAAAGUUGUUGCGGUUAAAAAGCUCGUAGUUGGAUUUCUGUUGAGGACGACCGGUCCGCCCUCUGGGUGAGCAUCUGGCUCGGCCUUGGCAUCUUCUUGGUGAACGUAGCUGCACUUGACUGUGUGGUACGGUAACCAGGACUUUUACUUUGAGGAAAUUAGAGUGUUUCAAGCAGGCAUACGCCUUGAAUACAUUAGCAUGGAAUAAUAAGAUAGGACCUCGGUUCUAUUUUGUUGGUUUCUAGAGCUGAGGUAAUGAUUAAUAGGGAUAGUUGGGGGCAUUCGUAUUUAACUGUCAGAGGUGAAAUUCUUGGAUUUGUUAAAGACGAACUACUGCGAAGGCAUUUGCCAAGGAUGUUUUCAUUA